GAGUUUGAUCAUGGCUCAGAUUGAACGCUGGCGGCAGGCCUAACACAUGCAAGUCGAGCGGUAACAUUUCUAGCUUGCUAGAAGAUGACGAGCGGCGGACGGGUGAGUAAUGCUUGGGAACAUGCCUUGAGGUGGGGGACAACAGUUGGAAACGACUGCUAAUACCGCAUAAUGUCUACGGACCAAAGGGGGCUUCGGCUCUCGCCUUUAGAUUGGCCCAAGUGGGAUUAGCUAGUUGGUGAGGUAAUGGCUCACCAAGGCGACGAUCCCUAGCUGGUUUGAGAGGAUGAUCAGCCACACUGGGACUGAGACACGGCCCAGACUCCUACGGGAGGCAGCAGUGGGGAAUAUUGCACAAUGGGCGCAAGCCUGAUGCAGCCAUGCCGCGUGUGUGAAGAAGGCCUUCGGGUUGUAAAGCACUUUCAGUCAGGAGGAAAGGUUAGUAGUUAAUACCUGCUAGCUGUGACGUUACUGACAGAAGAAGCACCGGCUAACUCCGUGCCAGCAGCCGCGGUAAUACGGAGGGUGCGAGCGUUAAUCGGAAUUACUGGGCGUAAAGCGUACGCAGGCGGUUUGUUAAGCGAGAUGUGAAAGCCCCGGGCUCAACCUGGGAACUGCAUUUCGAACUGGCAACUAGAGUGUGAUAGGGGGUGGGUAGAAUUUCAGGUGUAGCGGUGAAAUGCGUAGAGAUCUGAAAGGAAUACCGAUGGCGAAAGGCAGCCACCUGGGUCAACACUGACGCUCAUGUACGAAAGCGUGGGGGAGCAAACAGGAUUAGAUACCCUGGUAGUCCACGCCGUAAACGAUGUCUACUAGAAGCUCGGAACCUCGGUUCUGUUUUUCAAGCUACGCAUUAGUAGACCGCCUGGGGAGUACGGCCGCAGUAAACUCAAUGAAUUGACGGGGCCGCACAGCGGUGAAGCAUGUGUUUAAUCGAUGCAACGCGAGACUACUACACUGGACAUACAGAGACUACCAGAGAUUGUUGUGCUUCGGACUCUGAUACAGUGCUGCAUGCCUGUCGUCAGCUCGUGUUGUGAGAUGUUGGUUAGUUCCGCACGAGCGCUACUCCUAUCCUAGUGCUAGUCAGGAUAUGCUGAACCCUACGUACUGCGGUAUAACCGUCAGACGGUGGGACACACUCUAGGAUCCAA
Molecule: ribosomal RNA, 1154 nt
Filed under: uncultured marine bacterium
Lineage: Bacteria
Description: bacterial SSU rRNA
Rfam family: Bacterial small subunit ribosomal RNA
Source: RNAcentral